Molecule: ribosomal RNA, 501 nt
Filed under: uncultured bacterium
Lineage: Bacteria
Description: partial 16S ribosomal RNA
Rfam family: Bacterial small subunit ribosomal RNA
Source: RNAcentral
AUUGAACGCUGGCGGCAUGCCUUACACAUGCAAGUCGAACGGCAGCACGGGUGCUUGCACCUGGUGGCGAGUGGCGAACGGGUGAGUAAUACAUCGGAACGUACCUUAUCGUGGGGGAUAACGCAGCGAAAGUUGCGCUAAUACCGCAUACGCCCUGAGGGGGAAAGCGGGGGACUGUAAGGCCUCGCGCGAUUAGAGCGGCCGAUGUCUGAUUAGCUUGUUGGUGAGGUAAAAGCUCACCAAGGCGAUGAUCAGUAGCUGGUCUGAGAGGACGAUCAGCCACACUGGGACUGAGACACGGCCCAGACUCCUACGGGAGGCAGCAGUGGGGAAUUUUGGACAAUGGGGGCAACCCUGAUCCAGCAAUGCCGCGAGAGUGAAGAAGGCCUUCGGGUUGUAAAGCUCUUUUGUCAGGGAAGAAACAGCAGCUCUAACACAGUCUGCGAAUGACGGUACCUGAAGAAUAAGCACCGGCCAACUACGUGCCAGCCGCCGCGGUAA